Molecule: ribosomal RNA, 1371 nt
Filed under: uncultured bacterium
Lineage: Bacteria
Description: bacterial SSU rRNA
Rfam family: Bacterial small subunit ribosomal RNA
Source: RNAcentral
GAUGAACGCUGGCGGCGUGCCUAAUACAUGCAAGUCGAGCGAACGGACGAGAAGCUUGCUUCUCUGAUGUUAGCGGCGGACGGGUGAGUAACACGUGGAUAACCUACCUAUAAGACUGGGAUAACUUCGGGAAACCGGAGCUAAUACCGGAUAAUAUUUUGAACCGCAUGGUUCAAAAGUGAAAGACGGUCUUGCUGUCACUUAUAGAUGGAUCCGCGCUGCAUUAGCUAGUUGGUAAGGUAACGGCUUACCAAGGCAACGAUGCAUAGCCGACCUGAGAGGGUGAUCGGCCACACUGGAACUGAGACACGGUCCAGACUCCUACGGGAGGCAGCAGUAGGGAAUCUUCCGCAAUGGGCGAAAGCCUGACGGAGCAACGCCGCGUGAGUGAUGAAGGUCUUCGGAUCGUAAAACUCUGUUAUUAGGGAAGAACAUAUGUGUAAGUAACUGUGCACAUCUUGACGGUACCUAAUCAGAAAGCCACGGCUAACUACGUGCCAGCAGCCGCGGUAAUACGUAGGUGGCAAGCGUUAUCCGGAAUUAUUGGGCGUAGAGCGCGCGUAGCGGUUUUUUAAGUCUGAUGUGAAAGCCCACGGCUCAACCGUGGAGGGUCAUUGGAAACUGGAAAACUUGAGUGCAGAAGAGGAAAGUGGAAUUCCAUGUGUAGCGGUGAAAUGCGCAGAGAUAUGGAGGAACACCAGUGGCGAAGGCGACUUUCUGGUCUGUAACUGACGCUGAUGUGCGAAAGCGUGGGGAUCAAACAGGAUUAGAUACCCUGGUAGUCCACGCCGUAAACGAUGAGUGCUAAGUGUUAGGGGGUUUCCGCCCCUUAGUGCUGCAGCUAACGCAUUAAGCACUCCGCCUGGGGAGUACGACCGCAAGGUUGAAACUCAAAGGAAUUGACGGGGACCCGCACAAGCGGUGGAGCAUGUGGUUUAAUUCGAAGCAACGCGAAGAACCUUACCAAAUCUUGACAUCCUUUGACAACUCUAGAGAUAGAGCCUUCCCCUUCGGGGGACAAAGUGACAGGUGGUGCAUGGUUGUCGUCAGCUCGUGUCGUGAGAUGUUGGGUUAAGUCCCGCAACGAGCGCAACCCUUAAGCUUAGUUGCCAUCAUUAAGUUGGGCACUCUAAGUUGACUGCCGGUGACAAACCGGAGGAAGGUGGGGAUGACGUCAAAUCAUCAUGCCCCUUAUGAUUUGGGCUACACACGUGCUACAAUGGACAAUACAAAGGGCAGCGAAACCGCGAGGUCAAGCAAAUCCCAUAAAGUUGUUCUCAGUUCGGAUUGUAGUCUGCAACUCGACUACGUGAAGCUGGAAUCGCUAGUAAUCGUAGAUCAGCAUGCUACGGUGAAUACGUUCCCGGGUCU